Anopheles gambiae (African malaria mosquito) is the source of this 1149-nucleotide long non-coding RNA. RefSeq lists it as uncharacterized. NCBI's taxonomy places the organism in Eukaryota, Metazoa, Arthropoda, Insecta, Diptera, Culicidae. The record is from RefSeq and is a predicted model, not a curated record. The transcript is spliced from 3 exons.
AAAUAUAUGUUGGACUUUGUGAGUAUUUCUUAUUUAACAUUGAAACAUACAUUAAAGUGUGUUAUUUUGUGUGCUUCUGUGAAUUUAUUCUAGAAUUCUUUGUGUUUUCGACAUUUUUGAUGAUAAAAAUUAAGAAAUCAUUAUUUUUUUUUUCGAUUUUUACAUUAAUUGCUCAUUAUCUACGAGCCGCAUGGCCGCAAUUUACUUGAGAUUAGAACUCAUGCUAGCAUGAUUUGAAAUUUCGUGCAUAAACAAAUGAUCAAAUCUUUUGUUAAUAUAUUACGUUUUUUCGAUAAAAUCAAUAGACACGCACUAAAAUGCACAUCAUAACAAAUCGAAAUCUGUUAUAUUUGCUAAGCUUUGUGUGCGGAAACCAAUGGUCAACGGUUCUAAAAUGACGUAAAGUCCCUCAACUAUGGCGACCUCCCCAAAGGCCCUAAUCCACCACCACCUGAUAUGUUGAAUCCACCUUGGCAACGCACCCCAUCCCGUGCUAGAACGGGACAAGUUCAACAACAACUGUCAUCGUUUUUUCCCGAUUCACUUUACACUUUCCGUGGUCAGAUGCGCUUUCCGUGCUCAGAUGCGCUUUCCGUGCGCGGCCGUGUAGCGGUGGAGUAAUUGCGCGAUGGGUGUUGUGGAUCGUACGUACUGCUGCUGCUGCUGGAAUUGUCGUAAGGAUGGCUGCUACCGGUGGCAUUCGGCCGUCCUAGCAGCUGCUCAUAGACACCGCUGUGCUGCUGCAGGAUGCCCUGGUCCUGCCCAUCCCAACAUCGUCCUCACCGCAAUCGGUCACCCAGAUUGAGGCUCCAGCGGUGGAAGUAGUAGGAGCACAUUCUCCAAGCCGAUUGGGAUUUUCCAAGCCUGGUUCUCGGUGUACCAUCCUCCUGAUGUUCCGCUGGCCGAUCCUCAUCAAAUGUACGUGUAGCUUCGUUGAGCAAACGCUUGGUGUCCCACUGACCGUCCUCUUUGGUUAGGCCGCUGGUGAGUCUGACAACACCAGAGGCCAACAUCCAGUGGCGCCACGAGGAGGCAGAGGAUCGGAUUUGGCCACCGUCCCAGCAUCGGGCUGUUCCUUCACGGCGCCUUAUACUGGGGUGACUUACACGUCACUUUACGAAAGCUGGAACGAAGAGAGAGAGAGAGAGA